UGAAGUGAGUGGAACGCUUGGGGAGGUUGUUCAGUGACAUGCGGGGGUGGAACUAGAUCACGAACACGCACUUGUGAUAAUCCUACACCGAGAUUGGGAGGUCAGCUCUGCAAUGGACAAUCUUCAGACUCAACAUCCUGCAACACGCAUAUCUGUUCUGGCUGUACCUUUCCUUUUGAUUGUUUCGACAUCCUCAAUACUGGACAAAACAAUACAGGCCUUUAUUAUAUAUGCCCGGGUAACAUAAGCCAAGAAUCUGUUCCAAUUCAAGUUCUUUGUAACAUGGAAGCAUAUGGAGGGGGCUGGACGGUCAUUCAGCACAGAAAUCGGGGAUACACAGAGGUAAAUUUCAACACCACUUGGAAUGAAUACAAACGAGGUUUUGGGAAUGUUGGAGGGAAUUAUUGGUUGGGAAACAACUCCAUUCAUAAAUUGACCUCAAAAUACAACAAAUCACUGUAUAUCAGAUUGAGACAUACACAAAAUGUUUCAUUUGAAGUUCAAUAUUCUGAUUUUUACAUCCCCGAUGAAAAUGACGGCUACAGACUUUCCUUAGGG
Saccostrea cuccullata (small rock oyster) is the source of this 558-nucleotide long non-coding RNA. RefSeq lists it as uncharacterized. NCBI's taxonomy places the organism in Eukaryota, Metazoa, Mollusca, Bivalvia, Ostreida, Ostreidae. The transcript has 4 exons. The record is from RefSeq and is a predicted model, not a curated record.